CUGUGCCCACGGUGGCAGCUUUCCCCAACACUUCCUCAACCAGCGUGCCCACGAGUCCGGAGGAGCACAGGCCCUUUGAGAAGGUGGUAAACAAGGAGUCGCUGGUCAUCUCUGGCUUGCGACACUUCACAGGCUAUCGCAUCGAGCUGCAGGCUUGCAACCAAGACACCCCUGAGGAACGGUGCAGUGUGGCAGCCUACGUCAGUGCCAGGACCAUGCCUGAAGCCAAGGCUGAUGACAUCGUCGGCCCUGUGACGCACGAAAUCUUUGAGAACAACGUUGUCCACUUGAUGUGGCAGGAGCCGAAGGAGCCCAAUGGUCUGAUCGUGCUGUAUGAAGUGAGUUAUCGGCGAUAUGGCGAUGAGGUAAGGCCCUUGACUCUUGGGCAUGCCCCUGCACACUUCAGCAUGCCCCUUCAGAGUUGCACUUGGUACCUCCUUCCUCUGCUGAAAUUUUGAUUCCAGUGCUUCUCUCAUCAGGUACUGUGCUAUUAGCACUUAAAGCCUUGAUACCUGACUUCACAGGAAGAUGG
Molecule: small RNA, 532 nt
Filed under: Pongo abelii (Sumatran orangutan)
Lineage: Eukaryota; Metazoa; Chordata; Mammalia; Primates; Hominidae
Description: retained intron
Source: RNAcentral